UACGUAGGGUGCGAGCGUUGUCCGGAAUUAUUGGGCGUAAAGGGCUCGUAGGCGGUCUGUUGCGUCAGGAGUGAAAACUCGGGGCUUAACCCCGAGCCUGCUUCUGAUACGGGCAGACUAGAGGUAUGCAGGGGAGAACGGAAUUCCUGGUGUAGCGGUGAAAUGCGCAGAUAUCAGGAGGAACACCGGUGGCGAAGGCGGCAUUCUGGACCGACAUUGACGCUGAGGAGCGAAAGCCAGGGGAGCAAACGGG
Molecule: ribosomal RNA, 253 nt
Filed under: uncultured bacterium
Lineage: Bacteria
Description: partial 16S ribosomal RNA
Rfam family: Bacterial small subunit ribosomal RNA
Source: RNAcentral